UAGUUCAGUAGAACGUGGGUCUCCAAAACCUGAUGUUGUAGGUUCAAAUCCCAC
This 54-nucleotide transfer RNA is filed under the name Capsicum annuum. It matches the Rfam family "tRNA", at positions 8 to 63 of the family's 71-position model. From Rfam's summary of the family: Transfer RNA (tRNA) molecules are approximately 80 nucleotides in length. Their secondary structure includes four short double-helical elements and three loops (D, anti-codon, and T loops). Lineage: Eukaryota; Viridiplantae; Streptophyta; Magnoliopsida; Solanales; Solanaceae. The record is from Rfam by way of RNAcentral.